Molecule: ribosomal RNA, 207 nt
Filed under: uncultured bacterium
Lineage: Bacteria
Description: partial 16S ribosomal RNA
Rfam family: Bacterial small subunit ribosomal RNA
Source: RNAcentral
CGCGCAGGCGGUCGUUCAAGUCGAGUGUGAAAUCCCCCGGCUCAACUGGGGAGGGUCACUCGAUACUGAUCGACUCGAAGACAGGAGAGGGAAGCGGAAUUCCCGGUGUAGUGGUGAAAUGCGUAGAUAUCGGGAGGAACACCAGUGGCGAAGGCGGCUUCCUGGCCUGUUCUUGACGCUGAGGCGCGAAAGCUAGGGGAGCAAACG